This 467-nucleotide ribosomal RNA is filed under the name uncultured bacterium. RNAcentral's name for it is "partial 16S ribosomal RNA". It matches the Rfam family "Bacterial small subunit ribosomal RNA", at positions 28 to 507 of the family's 1533-position model. The record is from RNAcentral.
GAUGAACGCUGGCGGCGUGCUUAACACAUGCAAGUCGAACGGAAAGGCCCAAGUUUGCUUGGGUACUCGAGUGGCGAACGGGUGAGUAACACGUGGGUGUUCUUCCCUGCACUUCGGGAUAAGCCUGGGAAACUGGGUCUAAUACCGGAUAGGACCACUUCUUGGAUGUUGUGGUGGAAAGUUUUUUCGGUGUGGGAUGAGCUCGCGGCCUAUCAGCUUGUUGGUGGGGUAAUGGCCUACCAAGGCGUCGCCGGGUAGCCGGCCUGAGAGGGUGUACGGCCACAUUAGGACUGAGAGACGGCCCAGACUCCUACGGGAGGAAGCAGUGGGGAAGAUUGCACAAUGGGCGCAAGCCUGAUGCAGCGACGCCGCGUGGGGGAGGACGGCCUUCGGGUUGUAAACUCCUUUCGCUAGGGACGAAGCGUUUUGUGACGGUACCUGGAGAAGAAGCACCGGCUAACUACGUG